Long non-coding RNA from Oncorhynchus keta (chum salmon), 1621 nucleotides. RefSeq lists it as uncharacterized. The record is from RefSeq and is a predicted model, not a curated record. NCBI's taxonomy places the organism in Eukaryota, Metazoa, Chordata, Actinopteri, Salmoniformes, Salmonidae. The transcript has 4 exons.
AUCUCCACCCGGCACAGCCAGAAGAGGACUGGCCACCCCUCAGAGCCUGGCUCCUCUCUAGGUUUCUAAUCUCCACCCGGCACAGCCAGAAGAGGACUGGCCACCCCUCAGAGCCUGGUUCCUCUCUAGGUUUCUAAUCUCCACCCGGCACAGCCAGAAGAGGACUGGCCACCCCUCAGAGCCUGGUUCCUCUCUAGGUUUCUAAUCUCCACCCGGCACAGCCAGAAGAGGACUGGCCACCCCUCAGAGCCUGGUUCCUCUCUAGGUUUCUAAUCUCCACCCGGCACAGCCAGAAGAGGACUGGCCAUCCCUCAGAGCCUGGCUCCUCUCUAGGUUUCUAAUCUCCACCCGGCACAGCCAGAAGAGGACUGGCCAUCCCUCAGAGCCUGGCUCCUCUCUAGGUUUCUAAUCUCCACCCGGCACAGCCAGAAGAGGACUGGCCAUCCCUCAGAGCCUGGCUCCUCUCUAGGUUUCUAAUCUCCACCCGGCACAGCCAGAAGAGGACUGGCCACCCCUCAGAGCCUGGUUCCUCUCUAGGUUUCUAAUCUCCACCCGGCACAGCCAGAAGAGGACUGGCCACCCCUCAGAGCCUGGUUCCUCUCUAGGUUUCUAAUCUCCACCCGGCACAGCCAGAAGAGGACUGGCCACCCCUCAGAGCCUGGUUCCUCUCUAGGUUUCUAAUCUCCACCCGGCACAGCCAGAAGAGGACUGGCCAUCCCUCAGAGCCUGGCUCCUCUCUAGGUUUCUAAUCUCCACCCGGCACAGCCAGAAGAGGACUGGCCACCCCUCAGAGCCUGGUUCCUCUCUAGGUUUCUAAUCUCCACCCGGCACAGCCAGAAGAGGACUGGCCAUCCCUCAGAGCCUGGCUCCUCUCUAGGUUUCUAAUCUCCACCCGGCACAGCCAGAAGAGGACUGGCCACCCCUCAGAGCCUGGUUCCUCUCUAGGUUUCUAAUCUCCACCCGGCACAGCCAGAAGAGGACUGGCCACCCCUCAGAGCCUGGCUCCUCUCUAGGUUUCUUCUUAGGUUCCCGUCUUUCUAGGGAGUUUUUCCUCGCCACUGUGCUUCUACAUCUGAAUUACUUGCUGUUUGGGGUUUUAGGCUGGGUUUCUGUACAGCACUUUGUGACAUCAGCUGAUGUAAAAAGGGCUUUAAAAAUACAUUUGAUUGACGGAUUGAUUGAUUUGUAUGUCGGUUGGCUGUAAUGACUAUUUCUGGAUGUUUUAGCCUUGGAACAUUUAGGACAUGUCCAGUUAUUUUGCCAAGCAUGGCCACUACUGAGAAUAACUAGUUAUAUUUAAUGAGAUCGCUCAUCAAUGAAACCUAACCUUUAGACUUAAGAUGUAAUCUUCACGGAAAGGCCUCUAGAAAUACACACACACUUAAUAUAAACUUUAUCUGAAGUUCAGGGGAAACGCAACAAAUCUAAUUCUCUGCUGUCUAUCUUACUGCAUAUAAUACACCUCCUGAGGUAGGAUGUCAGUGUCUUUGUACAAUGAGGUGCAAUCGAUGGGCAGCCGGCCCAUUUACAGCCAGCCGGAGAUAAGACCUGGCAUGCUGCAGGGAGAUUGGGGAUGUUUCUGGGAUGAAAUGCUUGUUGGGUAAGGAAGAGGGAGCACCGC